Long non-coding RNA from Brienomyrus brachyistius, 417 nucleotides. RefSeq lists it as uncharacterized. The transcript has 3 exons. The record is from RefSeq and is a predicted model, not a curated record. Lineage: Eukaryota; Metazoa; Chordata; Actinopteri; Osteoglossiformes; Mormyridae.
GAUCACAAAGCAUUACAGAGAGGAGUACAAGUACAGCUGGUUGCUGCGCAUACAGACUAAAGGCAGAAAUUCUAGUGAUCAGUCUAGAUCAGUACAAACUAUAAAAUGAAUGAGGAUAUUUAUGCUAAUGCAGAUAUAAUUGAAAUACAUACAAAAUGCACAUCCAGCCAAGGAGAACAGACUCCAAAGCGAACUCAACAUUCAGGAUCUGAUCCCACAGGGAGACGAUGCUACCGACUGGCUAUAGUGUUUCUUGGGAUAUUGUGUUUUCUCCUGCUGACGGCUGUCAUAGUGCAGUCUGCUUAUAAUAACAGACUCCUAGGGGAAGCUAAGAGGAACAAAGCUGAAAUGGCUCAGAUAUUUUCAUAUCUCACCUCCAAUUACAGUGAGAAUCUGCGGCUGCAAACCAGCUACAGC